RNAcentral lists this long non-coding RNA (610 nucleotides) under Salvia miltiorrhiza (redroot sage). RNAcentral describes it as "long non-coding RNA (SMIL_LNC003960)". Lineage: Eukaryota; Viridiplantae; Streptophyta; Magnoliopsida; Lamiales; Lamiaceae. The record is from RNAcentral.
GCCACCGCGCUUAACGCCGGAACAGUGAACACCAUCGAUCCCACCGCAGAAACAAAGAGACCCAGAAAUUAAAAAAACAAAAAAAAAAUCAAAAAAUAGAAGUCUUUCAAUUUUGAGAGAAACAGAGGAGAUGCCUAAUUUCCGGCGAGCCCUAAUUUUUGGAAAAAAAAAAACCAGAGGAGAUAGCACGAAGUGGAAUAGAGGGUUGCAGAGGCGGUGCGGGCGGAGGCGGCUCGAACGGUGGCGUCCGGAGGGCGGAGGCGAAGAGGCGAGAGGCGGAGGCGGUGGCGCGAUAGUUCUCGGCGGAUUUAGGGCUUAGAUCUCGAUUUACAGAGGGGGAAGGGCUUAGAUCUCGGCAGAUUUAGGGCUUAGAUCUCGGUGAAACCCUAGAUCCCUAAAUCUGCCCCUCAAGCUUCGAUUUCCGACGUCCGCACCGCCGUUCCCUAGCUCCCCCUCUCUCCGCGAAUCGCCGCUGCUGUGCUCGAUUUCCGGCGAGGCAGCAGGAGCUUCACCUUCGUCGCUUCCCCUCGGCUAGAGAGAGAGAGCAGAGGGUGGGGAUGAAAUUGGGUGUUGAGAUGGAGAGGGCGACGAGGCCGGUGAAUAGCCGUGA